Molecule: ribosomal RNA, 526 nt
Filed under: Georgenia daeguensis
Lineage: Bacteria; Bacillati; Actinomycetota; Actinomycetes; Allobogoriellales; Allobogoriellaceae
Description: bacterial SSU rRNA
Rfam family: Bacterial small subunit ribosomal RNA
Source: RNAcentral
AUGCAGCGACGCCGCGUGAGGGAUGACGGCCUUCGGGUUGUAAACCUCUUUCAGCAGGGGAGAAGGCCUUCGGGUUGACGGUACCUGCAGAAGAAGCGCCGGCUAACUACGUGCCAGCAGCCGCGGUAAUACGUAGGGCGCAAGCGUUGUCCGGAAUUAUUGGGCGUAAAGAGCUCGUAGGCGGUUUGUCGCGUCUGCUGUGAAAACGCGAGGCUCAACCUCGCGCCUGCAGUGGGUACGGGCAGACUAGAGUGCGGUAGGGGAGACUGGAAUUCCUGGUGUAGCGGUGGAAUGCGCAGAUAUCAGGAGGAACACCGGUGGCGAAGGCGGGUCUCUGGGCCGUUACUGACGCUGAGGAGCGAAAGCAUGGGGAGCGAACAGGAUUAGAUACCCUGGUAGUCCAUGCCGUAAACGUUGGGCACUAGGUGUGGGACCCAUUCCACGGGUUCCGUGCCGCAGCUAACGCAUUAAGUGCCCCGCCUGGGGAGUACGGCCGCAAGGCUAAAACUCAAAGGAAUUGACGGGG